Molecule: ribosomal RNA, 1445 nt
Filed under: uncultured organism
Description: SSU rRNA
Rfam family: Bacterial small subunit ribosomal RNA
Source: RNAcentral
UACAGGCUUAACACAUGCAAGUCGAGGGGCAGCAUCAUCAAAGCUUGCUUUGAUGGAUGGCGACCGGCGCACGGGUGAGUAACACGUAUCCAACCUGCCGACAACACUGGGAUAGCCUUUCGAAAGAAAGAUUAAUACCGGAUGGCAUAGUUUUCCCGCAUGGGAUAAUUAUUAAAGAAUUUCGGUUGUCGAUGGGGAUGCGUUCCAUUAGGCAGUUGGCGGGGUAACGGCCCACCAAACCAACGAUGGAUAGGGGUUCUGAGAGGAAGGUCCCCCACAUUGGAACUGAGACACGGUCCAAACUCCUACGGGAGGCAGCAGUGAGGAAUACUGGUCAAUGGACGAGAGUCUGAACCAGCCAAGUAGCGUGAAGGAUGACUGCCCUAUGGGUUGUAAACUUCUUUUAUACGGGAAUAAAGUGAGCCACGUGUGGCUUUUUGUAUGUACCGUAUGAAUAAGGAUCGGCUAACUCCGUGCCAGCAGCCGCGGUAAUACGGAGGAUCCGAGCGUUAUCCGGAUUUAUUGGGUUUAAAGGGAGCGUAGGCGGGUUGUUAAGUCAGUUGUGAAAGUUUGCGGCUCAACCGUAAAAUUGCAGUUGAUACUGGCGACCUUGAGUGCAACAGAGGUAGGCGGAAUUCGUGGUGUAGCGGUGAAAUGCUUAGAUAUCACGAAGAACUCCGAUUGCGAAGGCAGCUUACUGGAUUGUAACUGACGCUGAUGCUCGAAAGUGUGGGUAUCAAACAGGAUUAGAUACCCUGGUAGUCCACACAGUAAACGAUGAAUACUCGCUGUUGGCGAUAUACAGUCAGCGGCCAAGCGAAAGCAUUAAGUAUUCCACCUGGGGAGUACGCCGGCAACGGUGAAACUCAAAGGAAUUGACGGGGGCCCGCACAAGCGGAGGAACAUGUGGUUUAAUUCGAUGAUACGCGAGGAACCUUACCCGGGCUUAAAUUGCAACUGACUGAACCGGAAACGGUUCUUUCUUCGGACAGUUGUGAAGGUGCUGCAUGGUUGUCGUCAGCUCGUGCCGUGAGGUGUCGGCUUAAGUGCCAUAACGAGCGCAACCCUUACGGGUAGUUACCAUCAGGUUAUGCUGGGGACUCUACCCGGACUGCCGUCGUAAGAUGUGAGGAAGGUGGGGAUGACGUCAAAUCAGCACGGCCCUUACGUCCGGGGCUACACACGUGUUACAAUGGGGGGUACAGAAGGCAGCUACACGGCGACGUGGUGCUAAUCCCGAAAGCCUCUCUCAGUUCGGAUUGGAGUCUGCAACCCGACUCCAUGAAGCUGGAUUCGCUAGUAAUCGCGCAUCAGCCACGGCGCGGUGAAUACGUUCCCGGGCCUUGUACACACCGCCCGUCAAGCCAUGGGAGCCGGGGGUACCUGAAGUGCGUAACCGCGAGGAGCGCCCUAGGGUAAAACUGGUGACUGGGGCUAAGUCAUAA